CGUCUUACGGGACGCAGCAGUAGGGAAUUUUCGUCAAUGGGCGCAAGCCUGAACGAGCGAUGCCGCGUGAGUGAAGAAGGCCUUCGGGUCGUAAAGCUCUGUUGCGGGGGAAAAAAGGCAGCAUCAGGAAAUGGGUGCUGACUGAUGGUGCCCCGCCAGAAAGUCACGACUAACUACGUGCCAGCAGCCGCGGUAAUACGUAGGUGGCGAGCGUUAUCCGGAAUGAUUGGGCGUAAAGGGUGCGCAGGCGGUCCUGCCAGUCUGGAGUGAAAAGCCUGAGCUCAACUCAUGCAUGGCUUUGGGAA
This 305-nucleotide ribosomal RNA is filed under the name uncultured bacterium. RNAcentral's name for it is "bacterial SSU rRNA". It matches the Rfam family "Bacterial small subunit ribosomal RNA", at positions 335 to 632 of the family's 1533-position model. The record is from RNAcentral.